Molecule: ribosomal RNA, 309 nt
Filed under: uncultured eukaryote
Lineage: Eukaryota
Description: partial 18S ribosomal RNA
Rfam family: Eukaryotic small subunit ribosomal RNA
Source: RNAcentral
CCCUUAGAUGUUCUGGGCGGCCCGCGCACUACAUUGGCACUAGCAAAGAGAUCCUAGAUUGAAUUCUUUGGGGUAUUCUUCUAAAUGGUGUCGUGACUGGGGUAAAUCCUUGUAAUUAUUGGUUUUGAACGAGGAAUUCCUUGUAAUCGCGGUUUAUCAGCUCGCGUUGAAUGCGUCCCUGCCCUUUGUACACACCGCCCGUCGCUCCUACCGAUGGAUCGUCCGGUGAAGCUCACGGAGUGACUGUUCACGCAACGGUUUACGAAGUGAAAUGGACCUCACGAUUUAGAGGAAGGAGAAGUCGUAACA